UUCAACGGCCGCGGUAUCUUAACCGUGCGAAGGUAGCGUAAUCACCUGUUUUUUAAAUAAAGACCUGUAUCAACGGCACCACGAGAACUAAACUGUCUCCCCCAUCCAAUCAGUGAAACUGAUCUUCCCGUGCAGAAGCGGGGAUGUAAUCAUAAGACGAGAAGACCCUGUGGAGCUUAAAAUCAAAAACCAACUGUCGACUACCAAAAUAAAUAUUCAUACAGUUAUGUUCUAGAUUUUCAGCUGGGGCGACUGCGGAGUAAAAAUUACCCUCCGCGAAGAAUUAUGCCGAGAGCAACUACUCUAAGCAUUAAUACAUUUUACUUAAAUUGACCCAAUUUUUGAUCAACGGACUAAGUUACCCCAGGGAUAACAGCGCAAUCCACUUUUAGAGUCCAUAUCGACAAGUGGGCUUACGACCUCGAUGUUGGAUCAGGGCACCCAGGUGGUGCAGCCAUUACUAAAGGUUCGUUUGUUCAACGAUUAAAG
RNAcentral lists this ribosomal RNA (489 nucleotides) under Leptolalax sp. 13 JMC-2018. Its description in RNAcentral is "partial 16S ribosomal RNA". It matches the Rfam family "Bacterial large subunit ribosomal RNA", at positions 1923 to 2593 of the family's 2925-position model. The record is from RNAcentral. Lineage: Eukaryota; Metazoa; Chordata; Amphibia; Anura; Megophryidae.